ACAAGUAUAGGUUUGUAGGAUAUCCUAUGGAAACUAAUGGAUACUACUACUACCACCCUACUGAAUAAAAGGUGUUUGUUAGUAGGCAUGCCACUUUCUUGAAAAAUGAACUCAUCCAAGAAGGUGGCAGUGGGAGGAAUAUUGAACUUAUUGAAGUUCAUGAUCUACAAAUCGAUCCAAAAAUAUCUGUGGUUGAACCAUAAGAAAAUUCUCAAUCAGAAGUACCCAAGGAUAA
Molecule: long non-coding RNA, 235 nt
Filed under: Elaeis guineensis (African oil palm)
Lineage: Eukaryota; Viridiplantae; Streptophyta; Magnoliopsida; Arecales; Arecaceae
Description: long non-coding RNA (EGUI_LNC058242)
Source: RNAcentral